Molecule: ribosomal RNA, 86 nt
Filed under: Thermoplasmatales archaeon
Lineage: Archaea; Methanobacteriati; Thermoplasmatota; Thermoplasmata; Thermoplasmatales
Description: partial 16S ribosomal RNA
Rfam family: Archaeal small subunit ribosomal RNA
Source: RNAcentral
AUGAUUCCGGUUGAUCCUGCCGGAGGCCACUGCUAUUGGAAUCCGACUAAGCCAUGCGAGUCGAGAGGGUUCGGCCCUCGGCGGAC